RNAcentral lists this ribosomal RNA (882 nucleotides) under human gut metagenome. RNAcentral describes it as "bacterial SSU rRNA". It matches the Rfam family "Bacterial small subunit ribosomal RNA", at positions 25 to 910 of the family's 1533-position model. The record is from RNAcentral.
CAGGACGAACGCUGGCGGCGUGCCUAACACAUGCAAGUCGAGCGGGGAAUGAUUGGUAGCUUGCUACUGGUUAUUUCUAGCGGCGGACGGGUGAGUAACGCGUGAGCAACCUGCCUUUAUCAGGGGGAUAACGCAUCGAAAGAUGUGCUAAUACCGCGUAAGACCACAGCCUCACAUGGGGCAGGGGUCAAAGGAGCAAUCCGGAUAAAGAUGGGCUCGCGUCCGAUUAGCUAGUUGGUGAGAUAACAGCCCACCAAGGCGACGAUCGGUAGCCGACCUGAGAGGGUGAUCGGCCACAUUGGAACUGAGAAACGGUCCAGACUCCUACGGGAGGCAGCAGUGGGGAAUAUUGGGCAAUGGGCGAAAGCCUGACCCAGCAACGCCGCGUGAGGGAAGAAGGGUUUCGGCUCGUAAACCUCUGUCCUAUGGGACGAAGGAAGUGACGGUACCAUAGGAGGAAGCCCCGGCUAACUACGUGCCAGCAGCCGCGGUAAUACGUAGGGGGCGAGCGUUGUCCGGAAUGAUUGGGCGUAAAGGGCGCGUAGGCGGCCUGCUAAGUCUGAAGUGAAAGUCCUGCUUUCAAGGUGGGAAGUGCUUUGGAUACUGGUGGGCUGGAGUGCAGGAGAGGAAAGCGGAAUUACCGGUGUAGCGGUGAAAUGCGUAGAGAUCGGUAGGAACACCAGUGGCGAAGGCGGCUUUCUGGACUGAAACUGACGCUGAGGCGCGAAAGCGUGGGGAGCAAACAGGAUUAGAUACCCUGGUAGUCCACGCGGUAAACGAUGAAUGCUAGGUGUAGGAGGUAUCGACCCCUUCUGUGCCGCAGUAAACACAAUAAGCAUUCCGCCUGGGGAGUACGGCCGCAAGGUUGAAACUCAAAGGAAU